Long non-coding RNA from Canis lupus familiaris (dog), 499 nucleotides. RefSeq lists it as uncharacterized. The record is from RefSeq and is a predicted model, not a curated record. The transcript has 4 exons. Lineage: Eukaryota; Metazoa; Chordata; Mammalia; Carnivora; Canidae.
GGAAGCAGAGGAGCUAAACUGAAGAGGAUAGAUGUUCUCAUUUUCUAAGUGCACAUAUUUGCACAUCAUCUUUGUGAACCGAACUCUGAGCAGCCACUGGGGCUAAGGUCUGGAGAAAAAUGGGUUGGCCACAGCAAGACCCCAUCCCAGUGCUUUGUGGAUAGGAAGCCAAGAUGAGCUGAAGAUGAGUGCUCAUUAGGAUCCUGUUGCUCUUGUCUAUUCACCAACAUGGAUGAUUUGAAGUUCUGUCUAAUCAUCCAUUCAUCCAACCAUCCAUCUAUGUUUUCAUCUACUUAUCUAUCUAUAUAUCUAAAGAAAUCAAAGAAGAAAGAAAUUCUUGACACAUUAAUGUGAUGACUACAAUUCGAAAAUCUGUCUACCUAUCUCUUAUCGAUCCAUCCAUACACCCAUCUAUCUGAAGAAGCCAAAGGAAAAGGACGGAUGGGGGGAUGGCAUAAUUGGGUGUUGGGCAUUAAGGAGGUCACAUUAUAUGAUGAAC